Molecule: long non-coding RNA, 353 nt
Filed under: Citrus sinensis (sweet orange)
Lineage: Eukaryota; Viridiplantae; Streptophyta; Magnoliopsida; Sapindales; Rutaceae
Description: long non-coding RNA (CSIN_LNC004768)
Source: RNAcentral
GUGGCCAAAAUACCUAUAAAAAGCAUAAUAUGUAGGAAUUCUCUAAAAAAAUCCUAGCAAAAAUUAGAGUCACCCUCAUCAAUCCAAAUACGCAGCAGCGAAGGCUCUAAAACAUCAUACUCUACCAAAACCCUAGCAACAGAUAGCUUAUUAUCCAUGACUAUGGCGUAAUUUGCACGUAUAGGUGUACCAAUAGCAACAUCAAUAAAAAAUAAAUAGAUUUAUAAUUAAUAAAAUGGAUAGGUAAAUAGGGUAAUGACACUUAAACAGGCAUAAUAUGAGAUUCCUCUAUAUAACAGAAGUCAAUACUCCAUUUUAAAUUUUGCAUACCUCGGCCGUUAACAUACCAAGUC